This 289-nucleotide long non-coding RNA is filed under the name Gallus gallus (chicken). The record is from RNAcentral. Lineage: Eukaryota; Metazoa; Chordata; Aves; Galliformes; Phasianidae.
UGCUUCAUAUGCGUUCGAGCUCUGGCAAUAUCCCUGAGCAACUUGAAGAUAUUGUCCACUGCAUCUGUGGCUUUCUGGGAUGUUAGGUUCAGUGCCGAGUUACAGCCUGUUAUUUUCUGCAACAAAGGAGACAGCUCUGGUUCAUCACAAAUUGCCUUGACUAGAGCCUUCUUCACUUCUUCCUCAGCUUUGUUCAGCUCUUCUCCAUUUCUGAUUUCUCCAACCACAGAAUACAUGUACACUAACAAGAUAAAGAAGUCCUCACAGGUAUAAUCAUCUUGCAUCCUCU